CGUUGAUUGACACGUCGGUGGAACGGAGGGCCGAGGGGGUACAACCCCAGGCCCCUAACUGCCUCGCUUCGGACCAACGCAAAUACAACUGACAUCUAUGGGUGAUCCAGGACGUCCAGCAGAAAGGCGUUGGAAAACGGACGACACCCUAGGCCGUCCGGCCUAGGGGAGGCCGGCCGGCCUGACCUUUUUGCACCAUGUGUGCAGCCCUCAAGUAGAAGUUACAACCGCCAUGCAUGCAUGGACAGCUUUGCUUCCAAGUCAAGCCAACCAUAGCUGUGCUUACAAGCUAAGCAACCUUAGCCUUGCUUACAAGGGAGCCCCCACCCCUCAUUCAGCACACACCAUUUGGAGAGGAGAAGAGUCCAAGCAAGAUGUAGUCCCACUUAGUAGAAUAGGGAGAGUGUGAGUUGAGAGUCUUGGCAAAAGCCAAAGUAAAGGAGCGGUGCCGAGUUCUCUCGGCCUUACUCCAUUUUCUAAGCCACCUUGGAGGAAUGGAAUAUCUUCGGAGUGAAGUUCCUCGUCUCUCGUUGGUAUCUUGCUAGUAUCUCAUCUCAGCGGGAUCCCUAGUCUACGUAAGUAGCAAGUUCUACUUAUUUGAGAGUGCUUUCUGUCUUGUCAGGAGGCAGGAGUACGUAACUCGAUAGUGUUAGGCGUGGUGCCUAGACUUAGUUAGUUACAUAGGGUUGAGUUCCACCCCACGGAACCGUUCUGGUAGGCGGCAGGUGGUGAUAGCCCUGUCCAUCCCUCGUAGUCCACCACGUUUGGGUGUUUUCAUAGCAGUAGUUGUAGGUUGCUGUUGGACUCCCCUCUCACCCCUUUCUGAAGUCCUUCCUCUUCCAGCCGCCGAAGCAGAUCAAGAUAGUUUAGUUGCAAGUCCUCUGGGUAAUGAGUUGGCUAACCGACGUUAUACCCUCUACCCACUUACCUCCCUUCCCCUAGUGGGUCCGAUUGAACUAGUUCUAGGUUUGGUCGAAGAUUUACCGUUCUUUGGAUUCGAUAUCCCAAGUAUACUCCCUGGUGAAAGAUACAAUCUAUCUCUGUGCGCUUGCGGAGUAAUUCGUUUAGGCUAAGGAGUGCCAACAACAUCACGUCAUCGCCGACCACCACCCAACAACAAGAUCGGGUGGUCGGCGCUGGUUCCUCGGCCGACUGAUCCGCGCGAUGGCGCGGGAUCUCCUCAACGACCUCCUCCGUUGCCUCCGGGCCCCUCCCCUAUGGCGUACGACCUCCAGAAGGCGUCAGCAACAGUCCCGGCGACGCCCGGGGAAUUACCGAUGCCCCGAUCUCCUUCUUCUGUGGACUCUGCCGCACAGAUGGCACCUCAGCGCUUGCCAUCGCCCGCUCCUGGCCGCUCGACUCGUCCGGACGGGUCCGCCCUGUCUCCUCCGGCCUGCAGUGAGCAGUUAACGCCACAAUUCGGAAGCAAGAAGACAAGUGAACCUAAGAUGUGUGCCGUCAGACUAACCUUGGCGCGCGGUGUGUCUUCACGACGUACUUCUGUGCCGCUAUUGACUGCACACCACCAACACGAGAAUUGCUGCCACGGUGCGGCGUCCUUCCACACUCCAUCAAUCUUGCCGACAUUUUGGGCAGUGCCUCUGGCUCUUCAGCCGGGCUCUUACUCCAACCUUGGGCUGCAGCUGCGCUCUCUUCCGGAGUCGCCCCUGGCACAGGCGACCCCUUGCCACUCUCAGGGGCUACCUCCUCUACAACAGCAGGGUGCCUCCGGUCAUCCAGGUGCUCUUGACCUGCCGAUAUUGGCCUCCGGUCCUCACCAACUGCAUCUGACGACGACACCACCCGACAGCGUUUCUCUCCAACCUUUUGGGAAGUGACAUCCUUCGCCGACCGCCGUCGAGAUGACACUGACCCCGCAUCCAGCAUGGCACCAAUGUCCCCUUGGGAAGAAGACGAGGAUAAGCUCCCGCUCCAACCUGGCCCCACCUUCUUGGGCUCAUCACCAGAGUGACCGCGGGCCAGCGGCAACUCCCUCGUAAGAUGUAUCCCCGCGGUGGGCAGGACGGAGUAAUACACCUCGGACCCCUGAUAAACCAGAAAAAGGCAGAUGUAAGGAGUGAUAAUGGCAGACAAGAACAGUCUAAUGGCGACUCGCAAGAACAUACCGCAGGGUGAGGACGAUGACUAUUAUAUCCAAGCGACCUCCCACAACUACGGAGCCGGAUGCUUGGUGCAAAUAAUCUCCUAGCUCGAUCUGCGGGCUCGUCAUGAGUAAGCCACCCAUCUCAUUCACGACUACUACACCCUUCAAAGAAUUCCCAAGCUCGAUGCUCCCUCUGUUUCAACGGCUGGAAGCGCAUGCCAAGGAAACUCAAGGCCACAGUGACGCCAUCCAGAUCUUUCUCCGCCAGCCUCCCCAGAAGAUCUCGCACCUGAUCCAUCUCAAAUUCCAUUGGAGUGUCCAACCAGCGCGAUGAUGGAACGGGGGCAGUAUCGACGUCCUCCGGAAGCCGCUCAUAUGGAUCCUGGACAUAAAACCAUUGGGAUUUGCACAAGACGCCCUGAGUCCACAAAUCAAGAUUAAUAUACUGGUUCCUUCUAUCCUCACAAAGCACAAACUGGUAGCCGCCCACAACUUUUUGGGCUCCAGCCCCAGAGCCAAGUACCAGCUGAUAAAAGUAACACCACAAGUUAAAAUGUGGUUCCACACCCAAAAAUGCCUCGCAAAGUUUGACAAAAAGCACGGCUUCUAGUAUACUAUUUGGGGUCAGGUUGUACAGCGGAAUCCGAUAAUAGGAGAGGAGUUGAGCAAAACCAAUCCAGUGCUGGCAAACCAAAUUUGCGCUGAUGGAAAGCAAGGAAGGUAAUGAUUUCACCUGGCAUUGGCAUCGGAAACACUUCCCUCCCCGGCACACGAUAGCUGGAGAUCUCCUGGUCCGGCAAGAAACCUUCUUCGAUGAGUUCCUCCAACUCCCCCUCCGUGGUCAUCAUCGGCACCCACUCCGUUGUCCGCCUUGCCACAAGAGCACGCUGCUCUUCCUUUGCCUUGGCAAGCGUGGUGGUUUUCGCCUUCUUUGACAUCCUCGACUUCGGCGCCAUCGGCUCCCCCGCCACAACGACACUGGAUCUUGGUUUGGGGAGGAAAUGUGAGUGGAACCUCAAUCACCACACUCAAAUCACUGGAGAUAUUCGGUUGCGGAUCAGAAGAUGAUGGAUGAGAGAUGAGGAGUCGAUGAAUAAUCACCUCACCACCGUGGUUCCUUCUCUUAUAAGGCAAGUAGUUUUGGGAACCGCACCGCCUUCGCUUCGAACGCUCCGUCUUCCCCGGGUGGCCCGCGGCCCAUUAAGCCAAGGCCCUAACAGAAGGGGAAUCGCCAGGGCUACGUGGCCGCCCACGAUCAGCGGGCGGUUACCAUCUACGGUGCAGCAGAAUUACAAGAUUGCCCUCGCGCCAAGCGCAGGUACUGACAAGUACCCAAGAAACUGCGGAAUUUUAUCGAAGGCCCCCUCGUCGAUCUCAGGGAAUUUGCACAGGUUUCUUAUAGAAGACUUUCAAGAUCAAAGGAUGGUUCUCGUAUAAACCCUAGCACCAUGUGUCUCCAACACCUAUUGCCAGGCUCGGGGACUAAGUGGGCACACUUCACCUUGUGGUGAGUGUGCUAGAUUUGUUCAAGAUUAUGAAGACUACAAGAUGGCUCUGCGGUAUUCUAAACCUUGGCACCAUUUGUCUACGCCACCUGCUACCAGGCUCGGGGACUAAGUGGGCACACUUCACAUUGCGGUGAAUGCGCCUCCACAGAGCUGCUGAUGAUUUACUACAGGAUGGAUAUCACCAAGAUUACAAGGGUGUUCUCAUGUUUUUCAGUGAACGUGGGCACACUUGUGGAAAGAACAGGUUCUUCAAAAAAAUUUCGAUUCAAGACCACCUUACACCUUCUUCGACGACAUCUGCGAGCUCUGAGAUUGACCGACGUCUUAGAGCUCGGCAUAGCGGUAUGAAGAUUUGCCGACCUCGCCACACCGCCUGAAGUAUCUAUGAAGACAACCUACCGACCUCUCUGGAGCUCGGGCCACCGGUCGCUCACUCGCCGACCUUCAACGGCAGGACGAGGUCUCGACGGGACAGCUCAGGACCUCGACGCCUUGACGCCAACCUCCCGACGUCACUCGACGACCUCGGCUGGAUGACGCUGCUUGAAGCCUACAAGGUGCUCGGGGACUAGCUGUGGGGAAAUGGCCCCUAGGACCCCACGCCGACCUCGGAGGACCGAGCCCUGCCAGGCCAACCUCGGCUGACAAAGAUGAAGAUCACCGACCUCUCGAGGCUGAGCCCGCUAGGGCGACCUGGCCCGACGAGGAGGUCGAGUGCCGAUCUCUCCUAGGCCGAGCCCACUAGGGCGACCUGGCACAGGAGGGAGGAUUACGGGCCAAGGCAUCAACUGCCGCCCCCGCGUGAUACCCGGAGGAUAUCCCGAAGACGACGAUCUGAUAGGAUAGACCUCAAUCCCGCAAUAUUGUAACAGAUUAUAUCUUUCCUUAGAUAGAAGGUAGAAGAUCGGAUAUGUAACCCUACCCCCUGGCUAUAUAAGGCUGGUAGGGGACCCCCUCUUUUCUCAUGUUCUCUCCUUGAGGCAUAGCCAAUACAGAAAGCAAAGCACAGGAUGUAGGGUAUUACGUCACCUCGACGGCCCGAACCUAGAUAGAUCGUGUGUCUUGUGUCCUUUGCAACCUUCUCGAUCUCGGUCUUGUGCACCCCUCGACAAAUCUACCAUCGUGGGCAACCCCCUCGGUGGACUGCUGGCAAUAUCUCGUCGACAGUAAUUCAUGGCGAAAAACUCCAAAGAGCAAUAGAAAGAUCGCUAAAUAUUCUUGAAGCCAAAGCUAGUGGAAUGUUCAAGCCCGACAGAGAGAGAGAUGAACUGUCAGAUAUCAUUGGGACCGAUGAGCACGCUGGUCGAACAAGAGGCAAAGGGAACAUUCUGUGGAAGUUUAGUUUCCCUGAGGACAUAGGUAUGUAUAGAACCCAAAAGAGAAAGAGGGAAAUGGAGGCAGAGCAUAUCCGCACGUUGCAGCAAUAUGAUGUCGAGUCACGGCAACUGAUGCUUGCAACGCAAAAGCAAAAAGAAGAAUUGCAAGUGAUAAUGCAAGAAGAAAUCAAAAGGCAAGUGCAGACACAAUUGAGUUCCGUGGGGUUUACUAAUACAUCAGCUCUGGGUACCCAGUCCCAUCAAGUGAAAAGCAGUUGUGCUUCCAUGCAAUAGCCAAGUCUAGAUGAUACGGCUCAGCGCUUCCCUAUGGAUGACAUCACUAGUCAUUUUACAACAUGUGAGCUGCACAUUCAAAAGGAUGAUGGCACAGUGAUGGUGGCUAUUGGUAUUGUGAGUCCUAUCGAUCAUACCAACACACCAAGAAUCCACGGCGCAGUAAUACCAUCUGGAUAUGCUGCCGUCUCGGUGGAUAAAGUUACCAGAGGUUACAACGAUCUGCCUCUUCACAUUCCUGGAGGUGAUGAUAUCAGGACUCUAGGAGAAGCAGAGAAGACAUUCAUUGCAUGGCGCAAACGCUACAUUGUUAUUCCUGGGAUGCCGAAGCCAGAGCUGCCUCCUGCAUUACCUCAGCAAAGGUACAGAUGAAAGUGAAUGAAAUUUUUAUUCAUUAGUUUUCUAUGGGCGCUUAAAUAAUAGUUUUUUUCUGUACUCACACAGUGGGGCCCCCAUAAACCGUAGUCCAAAGCUCGGCUCCCCAGACCAUCACCACACUUCUCCGGGCGGUGGUUACGAUGGGGUAGAUGACGCAGCGACAUCCCUAGCAUCUCCAAGGCAGUCGCCACCGCCGCCACCACCGCCUCCAGGGUGGCGUUCCCCAGCACCGGCCGCCUUGUCCCAGGCAAAGGUGCCAUCACCGACUCGGUCUCCAAUGCCUUCUCCCAUGACAUAGGCAGCUUCAAAGAAGAGAAAUGUCUCCUCCCAGGUGAAGACGGUCAAGAAAUUUACGAAGAAAAUAACAAAGCGCCAACCCAAAAAAUUGCCUGGUGAAAUGAGUAUGGAGGAAUUAGAUGCUUCGGUUAAAGAAAUAUGCAAUAAAUUCGUUGCACGAGACGAUGUGAGGAAGAAGGCAUUGGCGGAUGCUGGCAAGCCGUUCUUCCUACCUCCAGAUGAGUUAAGGGCAUGGUCGUCUAUUUGCUGUCUCUAUGUUGGUGUUUUUGCAGAAAACCCCUCUGCCGGGCGAGUAGACGGUCACCUCGUCGCCUCGUGAGGCGAUGGCGGGGGCUCGUGCUCCGAGGGCUUGGGGACGGCUCCGACUGCAUUGUACGGCACUGCUUCAUCUCGUCGAUGCCUGCUCGGAUCCGCUGCUCCACACUUCCGCGCGCGCGCAAUCUGUGGAUGGAGGCAAGUCGCGCGCCCUUUUAUCCCAUCCCCUUCCCCUCCACCAAAUCCCACCCACAAACUGCAGCGGCGGCAAGUUCAGCAUUCCGUGGCGGCAGCGUGGAAGCUCCUAGCUGCGUUCGUGGCGUGCGAGCAGGAAACCGCGACGGCACUGGAGGCGCGGGGCGGGAAGACCACGGCGGCGUCACCUGGGCGGAGCAAGCGCCAGCGGCGUGGGACCGGUAGCUCGCGACGGCGCAGGAAAGUCAGUGAGUCAUGCAGGCUGCUCGAGCUGCCUCACGAGCUCACUGAACACAGCCGAGGGAGAACCUUGGCAUUGUAACCUGACAAGGAGCUUGAAUGAGCAAAGGACCUUGGUGGCAGUACCUGUUUUUGUGAAGCCUUCCAGAUUCUUGAGAUGGCAGUGCAUGUUUUUGUAAAAUGUUUUUGAGACGGCAGUACCUGUUCUUGUGAAGCAUUCCACAAUCUUGAGAUGGUAGGAUAACUAUAUGUGUGAAAUAUUUCAGUUAAUCUUGAAAUGGUAGUACUUGUUUUGUGAAGUUAAUUUUGUGAAAUGUUUAAGUUAGAAACCUUCAAAUGCGAAUUAUUUGGAUAUAUUGUUCAUUCUCUCAUGUAUGCAACACAAUGGCUACAAAGAUCAAAUUAUGCACUA
Molecule: long non-coding RNA, 6999 nt
Organism: Panicum virgatum (switchgrass)
Lineage: Eukaryota; Viridiplantae; Streptophyta; Magnoliopsida; Poales; Poaceae
Exons: 2
Source: RefSeq, a predicted model, not a curated record